UACGGAGGGGGGCUAGCGUUGUUCGGAAUUACUGGGCGUAAAAGCGCACGUAGGCGGCUUUGUAAGUUAGAGGUGAAAGCCCGGGGCUCAACUCCGGAAUUGCCUUUAAGACUGCAUCGCUAGAAUUGUGGAGAGGUGAGUGGAAUUCCGAGUGUAGAGGUGAAAUUCGUAGAUAUUCGGAAGAACACCAGUGGCGAAGGCGGCUCACUGGCUCGAUACUGACGCUGAGGUGCGAAAGCGUGGGGAGCAAACAGG
Molecule: ribosomal RNA, 255 nt
Filed under: uncultured bacterium
Lineage: Bacteria
Description: partial 16S ribosomal RNA
Rfam family: Bacterial small subunit ribosomal RNA
Source: RNAcentral